RNAcentral lists this transfer RNA (73 nucleotides) under Uromyces viciae-fabae. RNAcentral's name for it is "tRNA-Val (GAC) (tRNA-Val-GAC-1-1)". It matches the Rfam family "tRNA". Rfam says of the family: Transfer RNA (tRNA) molecules are approximately 80 nucleotides in length. Their secondary structure includes four short double-helical elements and three loops (D, anti-codon, and T loops). The record is from RNAcentral. Lineage: Eukaryota; Fungi; Basidiomycota; Pucciniomycetes; Pucciniales; Pucciniaceae.
GGCACUGUAGCUCAGUUGGUAGAGCACAUGCUUGACAGGCAUGUUGUCGUCGGUUCGAGCCCGGCCAGAGUCA